GAGGAGUCCGCGGCCGAUUAGCUUGUUGGUAGGGUAAUGGCCUACCAAGGCUGCGAUCGGUAGCCGGCCUGAGAGGGCACACGGCCACACUGGCACUGAAACACGGGCCAGACUCCUACGGGAGGCAGCAGUGGGGAAUCUUGCACAAUGGGGGAAACCCUGAUGCAGCGACGCCGCGUGAGCGAUGAAGCCCUUCGGGGUGUAAAGCUCUUUCGUCAGGGAAGAUAAUGACGGUACCUGGAGAAGCAGCUGCGGCUAACUACGUGCCAGCAGCCGCGGUAAUACGUAGGCAGCGAGCGUUGUUCGGAGUUACUGGGCGUAAAGGGUGUGUAGGCGGUUCUCUAAGUCUGGUGUGAAAUCUCCCGGCUCAACUGGGAGGGUGCGCCGGAAACUGGAGGACUAGAGUACGGGAUAGGAGAGUGGAAUUCCUGGUGUAGCGGUGAAAUGCGUAGAUAUCAGGAGG
Molecule: ribosomal RNA, 463 nt
Filed under: uncultured Acidobacteriota bacterium
Lineage: Bacteria; Pseudomonadati; Acidobacteriota
Description: bacterial SSU rRNA
Rfam family: Bacterial small subunit ribosomal RNA
Source: RNAcentral